AUACGGAGGAUACGAGCGUUAUCCGGAUUUAUUGGGUUUAAAGGGAGCGUAGGCGGGAGCUUAAGUCAGCGGUUAAAUGGUGCGGCUCAACCGUGCCCUGCCGUUGAAACUGGGUUUCUUGAGAGUGCAAGAGGCGGAUGGAAUUCAUGGUGUAGCGGUGAAAUGCUUAGAUAUCAUGAAGAACUCCGAUUGCGAAGGCAGUCCGCUGGGGCACGUCUGACGCUGAUGCUCGAAGGUGCGGGAAUCAAACAGGAUUAGAUACCCUGGUAGUCCGCACGGUCAACUAUGUACACUGGGUGUCCGUGCAUGAGCAUGGGUGCCGAAGCAAACGCGAUAAGUGUACCGCCUGGGGAGUAUGCCCGCAAGGGUGAAACUCAAAUGAAUUGGCGGGG
RNAcentral lists this ribosomal RNA (392 nucleotides) under uncultured bacterium. RNAcentral's name for it is "partial 16S ribosomal RNA". It matches the Rfam family "Bacterial small subunit ribosomal RNA", at positions 523 to 918 of the family's 1533-position model. The record is from RNAcentral.